This 507-nucleotide ribosomal RNA is filed under the name uncultured bacterium. Its description in RNAcentral is "bacterial SSU rRNA". It matches the Rfam family "Bacterial small subunit ribosomal RNA", at positions 10 to 507 of the family's 1533-position model. The record is from RNAcentral.
AGUUUGGAUCAUGGCUCAGGAUGAACGCUAGCGGCAGGCUUAAUACAUGCAAGUCGUGGGGCAGCAGGUUUGUAGCAAUACAGAUGCUGGCGACCGGCAAACGGGUGCGGAACACGUACAGAACCUUCCUUUGAGCGGGGAAUAGCCCAGAGAAAUUUGGAUUAAUACCCCAUAGUAUAAUGAAGUGGCAUCACUUUAUUAUUAAAGAUUUAUCACUCGAAGAUGGCUGUGCGGCUGAUUAGGUAGUUGGCGGGGUAAAGGCCCACCAAGCCUGCGAUCAGUAACUGGUGUGAGAGCACGACCAGUCACACGGGCACUGCGACACGGGCCCGACUCCUACGGGAGGCAGCAGUAAGGAAUAUUGGUCAAUGGGGGCAACUCUGAACCAGCCAUGCCGCGUGGAGGAUGAAGGUCCUCUGGAUUGUAAACUUCUUUUAUAUGGGACGAAAAAAGGCUUUUCUAAGUCGUCUGACGGUACCAUAUGAAUAAGCACCGGCUAACUCCGUG